Molecule: ribosomal RNA, 465 nt
Filed under: uncultured bacterium
Lineage: Bacteria
Description: partial 16S ribosomal RNA
Rfam family: Bacterial small subunit ribosomal RNA
Source: RNAcentral
GACGAACGCUGGCGGCGUGCUUAACACAUGCAAGUCGAACGGAAAGGCCCUGCUUGCAGGGUACUCGAGUGGCGAACGGGUGAGUAACACGUGGGUGAUCUGCCCUGCACUUCGGGAUAAGCCUGGGAAACUGGGUCUAAUACCGGAUAGGAGCCAUUUUUAGUGUGAUGGUUGGAAAGUUUUUUCGGUGUAGGAUGAGCUCGCGGCCUAUCAGCUUGUUGGUGGGGUAAUGGCCUACCAAGGCGGCGACGGGUAGCCGGCCUGAGAGGGUGGACGGCCACAUUGGGACUGAGAUACGACCCAGACUCCUACGGGAGGCAGCAGUGGGGAAUAUUGCACAAUGGGCGCAAGCCUGAUGCAGCGACGCCGCGUGGGGGAUGACGGCCUUCGGGUUGUAAACUCCUUUCGCUAGGGACGAAGCUUUUUGUGACGGUACCUAGAUAAGAAGCACCGGCUAACUACGUG